AAAAAGUUUUAUUCUAGCUAUAGGAUUUCUUUUUUAGUUGGUUCACAUGUAAGAUUUAUCGAGAGUUCACUUACAUCUUAAGGGUGGUGAUUUGAAAUUUAUUCGCAGUGUUUUGUAUUAAGCAUCAAAGAAAUUUGGAGUUAGCAAUUAAAAUAGUUCCGGCAAAAUUCGUGCCAGCCGCCGCGGUUACACGAAAGGGGCAAAGAUAUUUUAUUGGUUUGCAAUUAGUUGGAUAUGAGGUUGAAAUAAAUAUUUUGUUAGGUGGAAUUUUAAAAUUUGUGUUAACCAAAGUUGGUUAAAUGAAGUUGCGAAAUUUAGUGAAAAGACUAGGAUUAGAUACCCUAUUAUUCUAAACGUUAAAGUGAAGCCUGAGUAGUAAGAGAUAGGAUCUUGAAACUCAAAGAAUUUGGCGGUGUUUUAGUCCGUUCAGAGGAAUCUGUCCCGUAAUCGAUAUUCCACGUUUACUUAACUUAAGUUAGUUGACAGCUUGUAUACCGCCGUUAGAAGAGUGAUUCUAGAGAAUAUCCUCAAUUUCCUUAAUUAAGGCUUAUAUCAGGUCAAGGUGCAGCUUAUGCUUAAGGGGAGAUGGAUUACAAUAAGUAUACUUAAACGAAAGGUUAUUUGAAAAAGUGGCUGGAAGGUGGAUUUGAGUGUAAUUUAAUUUAGAGAAAUUAAAUGAAAUAGGCUCUAAAACAAGCACACAUCGCCCGUCGCUCUCGUUUGUUAAGGCGAGAUAAGUCGUAACAAAGUAGGUGUACCGGAAGGUGCCCCUAGAAAGUC
Molecule: non-coding RNA, 780 nt
Filed under: Rhithrogena sp. XL-2019
Lineage: Eukaryota; Metazoa; Arthropoda; Insecta; Ephemeroptera; Heptageniidae
Description: 12S ribosomal RNA
Rfam family: Bacterial small subunit ribosomal RNA
Source: RNAcentral